AUUUGAACGACCAUUUAACUGUCUUCAUAACACUCGGAACGUCACUUGGAGGAAUAUGCAUUUCCUUCCUACUAUUUUCCAUUGGACUGAUACUUUACAUGAGAAGAGAAAAGAAGUUAAAAUAUUCAAAAUCCCACAAUGCCACCAAAGCAUCCUACCAUUAUACCGAUAGUCAACAGUACCAGCAAAUAGAUACAGUUGGAGAAAUAGAAUCAGACUACGCCAACAUUGUAGACACGCCUGCCUACUCUACCUUGAGACAGAUGAGAGAAGUAUCAGUAUGAGAAAAUAUCACCAAUAAAUCCUCCAUCUUUUAGCAAAUCUUGAUAUUAUUUUUGUCUCCUACUUACUAUGUGCAUUUAAUGAUUGAUCGAUUGAUUGUAUAUUGUUUAACGUCCUUCUCGAGAUUGUUCACUCAUAUGGAGACGCCACUACUUUUCGCGAUGGAGAGCUGCAAUUUUGUCCUAUACUCGGCACUCAGAACCAUAGAGCAGGGAGGGGCCUUUCUCUUGCCAGCACAUACUGCGACACGGGACCUCGGUUUAUACGGUCUCAUCCAAAGGACCAGGACCGGUCUCCACGUCCCACAAUGGGAUUCGAACCCACGACGUAAGGAUCAAUUCCUUACUUUGCGACUCUAGAUCAGACUCUCUAACCACUGCGCCACGCGGGCGACUGUGCAUUAAAUGAAACACAAAUAUGAGGCGCGAUUUUGGAUUUAUUUCCAUUUAGUUCUAUCAAUUUUCUGAAUAAGUGAUAUCAUCUUUUUGAAUAGAUGCUAUCAUUUAAUCGAAUAUGUGAAACCAAUUUUUUGAAUCGGUGAUAUCACCUAUUUAUUAUGAAUUGGUGAUAUAACUAAUUAAAACGAGUGAUAUCAUUUUCUUUAAGACAAUCUAGGUUGAAUGCAAAGUAAAGGAUAAAAUUUUAAAUAGCUUUCAAAGAACAUUUUCAUUUUCUUAAUUUAGCAUUGAUUCAAAAAUGAAGAUUUUGAAUUCGAUACUCUAAAACAAACUCUUUGAAAAAAGAUUUUAAAAGAUUCUCUACACUAGUUAAAGUAAAUUCGAGCAUCAUACUCUACUAUUUUGGCUUUGCUUUAAACAAAUAAACUGAAAAUUUGCUUUAAGAUCUCAUCUCCUUUCUUGCAAAAUGAGAACACUGUUCAUAUGUUUCAUGUUCACCAAAGGUUCCUUAGAAGAUAUGGAAAGAAAUUACCGUCUUUUUAUCUUGCUUUUCUUCUUACUCUACCUACUUUUUUGCAGCCCAGAGGACCGAGCUGCUCUAUUCAUAUAAGUUUAAGUUUUAAUGUAUGAGAUUGAUGUGGUAGAAGUUAUUCAGAAUCAAAUGUUAACUAUAUAUUAAUAGAAUAUACAUAUGAAUGUCAUUUCCCUUUGUAAAUUACGAGAUACACGAUAUAUUUACUUCCAUGAAGUACAUCUUUAUCAAUAUAUAUGUUUUAAUACUAAUGUAUGAAAUUGGUUAUCAUUUACCAUAAAAAACGACAGAUCCUCUUUUUAGAACAUUAAAUUUUACUUAUCGCAGAAAAACGUUUUCACAAUUUGUGUUUUAUAUUUAUUGAGCCAAAUAUAUUUUUGAUGAUAUGUUAUGUCUGUGUCUGAUUCUAUUUCGUAUCUUUUACAGCUAACAAUUGCUUGAGAAAUUAAGUUUAAAACGUUACCGUUUUUGUAUUUUCAUCCGACUAGAAGUUUUCCGUAAAUCUUCUCGACUAUAGUCGUCAUCAUUCAGACGCAUGUCUGAUCACGCAAAUCGAACAGUUUGAUUACCAAGACUUAUUUUCGUUGUUUUUAUUUA
Long non-coding RNA from Saccostrea cuccullata (small rock oyster), 1809 nucleotides. RefSeq lists it as uncharacterized. The record is from RefSeq and is a predicted model, not a curated record. NCBI's taxonomy places the organism in Eukaryota, Metazoa, Mollusca, Bivalvia, Ostreida, Ostreidae. The transcript has 3 exons.